RNAcentral lists this transfer RNA (73 nucleotides) under Camelus bactrianus (Bactrian camel). It matches the Rfam family "tRNA". From Rfam's summary of the family: Transfer RNA (tRNA) molecules are approximately 80 nucleotides in length. The record is from Rfam by way of RNAcentral. RNAcentral also lists the same sequence under 1 other name. Lineage: Eukaryota; Metazoa; Chordata; Mammalia; Artiodactyla; Camelidae.
GAGGGUAUAGCUCAAGUGGCAGAGCGUGUGCUUAGCAUGCACAAGGUCCUGGGUUCAAUCCCUGGCACCUCCA